Molecule: long non-coding RNA, 1110 nt
Filed under: Junco hyemalis (dark-eyed junco)
Lineage: Eukaryota; Metazoa; Chordata; Aves; Passeriformes; Passerellidae
Description: lncRNA (ENSJHYG00000012032.1)
Source: RNAcentral
GCAAUGGACUGAAUUGCCUCACUGCCGUUGUACUGAGUUGGUAUCAUCCCAUGUUAUGUGCUCUGACUAAUGCAGCAGAAAUGCACUUCUAUGCCCACACCUCAUCUGGAUGCUGUUUGUGUUGCUGCAUGAUCUGGAGGCACCCAGACAGAGAAUGAGUGGUGAUGGAUCCACCAGGGAUGGGGCUUCUGCUAUACCUACAUAGCAGCAACAUGCCACUUACCCACAAUUUUCACCUAACCUUUGGAUUUCAUCUGGACUCACCAGAAUAUAAAUUUAUAAACUGAUGCAACACCCUGGCCAAGAAAGAGAAACGAGAAGAGAAGCAUGCCUACUUGCUAAGAAAACUGCACAGGAGCUGGCUUCCAGGACCAGCCCCUUCGGCGUAGCACACCAAUCGGGAGGCCCGGGAGCACAUGUGGAAUAUGUGGAAUGCUGCUCGCCGGCACGCCGGUCACGGCCACGGGCACAUCUGCUCUGCGGGACACGGAGAGCUGCCAGACAGCUCGGGUGUCGCGGAGCCCCCGCGCGGGAGGUGCCACGGUCCCGGCCGUGCCCCGGGUCCCAGCCCAGCCCAGCCGAACCAAGGGAGCUGUCACAGAGCGCCUCAGAGCCGCCGCUCCUGCUGCACCAGCCCUGGGGACACCUCAGCCUGAGGCCUGGCGUUGUGCCUUGCCCCUUCCGACGUUAUUCUUUCAUGGUUUCAUAAAAACAACCUCCUUUACCAUUGUAUUUAAUGUCUCUUCACUUUUCGCUGCAAGUCCUGGGCAUUGAAAGCCCCUCGUUUCAGGGGGCCGGCAGUGCUCCCCACCCUUAGGGUCAGCCUCACCUGGGAUUUCCUCCCUUUCCUGAGGCCGCAGGGCUGUCUGCCCUUCCUGAGGCUCCGGCUCCUCCUGCCAGGUUUGUUCCGUGCCAGCUCUGCUCGGUGCCUGUCAGCCACAGAGGUAAUUUUCUUCUUGCAUCUGUGGUGACACUCUAAGCACACGGCUCAGAAAUGGUAUUUAGGGACACAGACCCCGCUUCCCUGCUCCCUGCGUGCUCAGCCCUCGCCCCGGAGCAGGAUGAGAGGAAGGAGUGCGUGUCUGCUAACGCCUCCAAGCCAAAACUCAG